This 666-nucleotide ribosomal RNA is filed under the name uncultured bacterium. Its description in RNAcentral is "bacterial SSU rRNA". It matches the Rfam family "Bacterial small subunit ribosomal RNA", at positions 46 to 710 of the family's 1533-position model. The record is from RNAcentral.
GUGUUUAACAUGCAGUCGAACGGUACGCGGGGGGUACCCUGGCGACGAGUGGCGAACGGGUGAGUAAUACAUCGGAACAUGUCUGGAGUGGGGGAUAGCUCGGCGAAAGCCGGAUUAAUACCGCAUACGCUCUGAGGAGGAAAGCGGGGGACCUGGUAACGGGCCUCGCGCUGCGGGAGUGGCCGAUGUCGGAUUAGCUAGUAGGUAGGGUAAAGGCCUACCUAGGCGACGAUCCGUAGCUGGUCUGAGAGGAUGAUCAGCCACACUGGGACUGAGACACGGCCCAGACUCCUACGGGAGGCAGCAGUGGGGAAUUUUGGACAAUGGGGGCAACCCUGAUCCAGCCAUGCCGCGUGAGUGAAGAAGGCCUUCGGGUUGUAAAGCUCUUUCGGACGGGACGAAAUGGUUAGCGUGAAUAACGCUGACUGAUGACGGUACCGUAAUAAGAAGCACCGGCUAACUACGUGCCAGCAGCCGCGGUAAUACGUAGGGUGCGAGCGUUAAUCGGAAUUACUGGGCGUAAAGCGCGCGCAGGCGGUUCGCCAAGUCAGGUGUGAAAUCCCCGGGCUUACCUGGGAAUUGCGCUUGAAACUAGCGGGCUUGAGUGUGGCAAAGGGGGUGGAAUUCCACGUGUAGCAGUGAAUGCGUAAGAUGUGGAGGAACACC